CCAUAAAAAAAGGCCCAAUGCUGAUCCUGCUUUGGGCCUAGGGGAAGGGCUCAUAGAGAGCCUGCGCUAACUGUUUGAAUUUCCGACUUUAUCCAUACCUAAAGUGUAGUCCAAGAUUCGGAAAUCGCUAGGCU
Molecule: small RNA, 134 nt
Filed under: Vibrio tubiashii
Lineage: Bacteria; Pseudomonadati; Pseudomonadota; Gammaproteobacteria; Vibrionales; Vibrionaceae
Source: RNAcentral